UUUAUAGCAAUGCACUAAAAAGUAAGUCAAUGAGGAUUGUGCAGCGAGUGCGCGGUUGGUGAAAAGCGCAUCAAAAUUCUUGACUGAAGGUAGUUAGUGGGCCUUGCCGGUGAAAUUGUAGUAGUCGGUAACGUGAGAAACGCGUUAAGUUCUAACGAGAUAGCGGGAGAAGUCCCGUUAAAUCAGGUGGUACCGCGAUUAAGUCGCCCUGAUC
RNAcentral lists this non-coding RNA (214 nucleotides) under Weissella confusa. RNAcentral describes it as "T-box sequence". It matches the Rfam family "T-box leader". Rfam says of the family: Uncharged tRNA acts as the effector for transcription antitermination of genes in the T-box leader family. T-boxes are found upstream of many aminoacyl-tRNA synthetase genes and some amino acid biosynthetic genes usually in Gram-positive bacteria. The anticodon of a specific tRNA base pairs to a specifier sequence within the T-box motif, and the NCCA acceptor tail of the tRNA base pairs to a conserved bulge in the T-box antiterminator hairpin. The record is from RNAcentral. Lineage: Bacteria; Bacillati; Bacillota; Bacilli; Lactobacillales; Lactobacillaceae.